UACGUAGGGUGCGAGCGUUAAUCGGAAUUACUGGGCGUAAAGCGUGCGCAGGCGGUGAUGUAAGACAGGUGUGAAAUCCCCGGGCUUAACCUGGGAACUGCAUUUGUGACUGCAUCGCUGGAGUGCGGCAGAGGGGGAUGGAAUUCCGCGUGUAGCAGUGAAAUGCGUAGAUAUGCGGAGGAACACCGAUGGCGAAGGCAAUCCCCUGGGCCUGCACUGACGCUCAUGCACGAAGCGUGG
This 240-nucleotide ribosomal RNA is filed under the name uncultured bacterium. Its description in RNAcentral is "partial 16S ribosomal RNA". It matches the Rfam family "Bacterial small subunit ribosomal RNA", at positions 524 to 764 of the family's 1533-position model. The record is from RNAcentral.